Molecule: unclassified non-coding RNA, 881 nt
Filed under: Hevea brasiliensis (rubber tree)
Lineage: Eukaryota; Viridiplantae; Streptophyta; Magnoliopsida; Malpighiales; Euphorbiaceae
Source: RNAcentral
CAGAUUUGUUUAGAAGCUUUCAAAUGGACAGAUAGUGAAGCAGUCACAAAAGUUACUUCCUUCUGUGCUCAUGUUAUUCUUCUAGCUAUAACAACAAAUAAUAUUGAACUCCAAGAAUUUGUUUCAAAAGAUCUGUUCUAUGCAAUUAUCAAAGGCUUGGAGCUUGAGUCAAAUGCAGUCAUUAGUGCUGAUCUGGUCGGUCUCUGUCGAGAAAUAUUCAUGUACCUCCGUGAGAGAGACCCAGCCCCAAGACAGGUUCUACUCUCUCUCCCAUGUAUUACACCCCAAGACUUGUAUGCUUUUGAAGAAGCUUUAACAAAAACAUCCAGUCCCAAGGAACAAAAACAGCACAUGAAGAGCUUGCUUUUAUUAGCUGCUGGAAACAAGUUGAAGGCACUUGCUGCCCAGAAAAGUGUAAAUAUUAUCACGAACGUUACAGCUCGACCUCGAAGCUCAGUUACUGCUCCAGAAACCAGAACUGAUGAAGGGGAUUUGUUGGGGUUGGCUGCCGUUUUGUGAGAAACUUGUACUAUCAUUGCAGAGUUGAUGUACAGAUACAAGUGGAAAGAAAAAGAAGAGAUCCGAUUUAACAAAUACACAGGUAGUAAACUAGAAAGCAGGUUUUAUUUGCUCUUUUUUCUAUGGAGAUCGGUGCAACUGAUAUCUCUCCCCUUUCUCAAUAGAAGUUUGUAGAAUAUCCAACAUACCAUGGCAUAUUCCAUUAUUCUAUGCUUUUCUUGCCAUGGGAAGUUGUCUCACAUAAUUGUAUCUUUUUGGUAAUAUUUUCCCCCGUCCCUGGUAGCUUAAAAACCACACUUGCUCACUUGUAUUUGCAUUCUUGAGCAAAUAUCAAAUUAUUUUAUUAAGUUACCAGGGACGGG